This is a non-coding RNA of Pelobates cultripes (western spadefoot toad), 229 nucleotides long. The record is from the annotation of a GenBank genome assembly. Lineage: Eukaryota; Metazoa; Chordata; Amphibia; Anura; Pelobatidae.
GGGUUGUUAAUGACUUUUUGCUAACGGGAACAAAGCUCAAAAGCCAUGAGCAAGUAGAAAGUAUGUAAAUGUUUAUGUUAUUUAAGUGUUUCUCAAAAAGAAGCCCUUAAAAUAUCUGAGCUGUGGAUGCAGGGGGCGUCACUAAGGCGUUUUUGUUUGGACAAAUUGAGCUAUACCCUGAGCUAUUAAGAGACUGUGAGUCAUACAUCUGACAGGUGUGAAGUGCAAU